This 349-nucleotide long non-coding RNA is filed under the name Drosophila melanogaster (fruit fly). Its description in RNAcentral is "long non-coding RNA:CR43785 (Dmel_CR43785)". The record is from RNAcentral. Lineage: Eukaryota; Metazoa; Arthropoda; Insecta; Diptera; Drosophilidae.
AACGACAUUUGUUAAAUGAAGUCAAAGCGACCAAUAAUCUUGACGAUUAAGCAAACAUUAUCAAAAAAUGGCCAAGAAGAUUUUGUCAGCGUCAUCCAAACUAAACAUCGACCAGAAUUAUCCAUCCGGGUUUAUAAAGCAAAUGGUAAUAAAUCCGGUUAUGAGCGCCAUGACAAUCCAGGAUGAGGAGGCCAAGAUGCAGAAGUUGAAAGAGAUUCUUCAGAUGCUAGAAGCGGUGAAUAAUAAAUUGAUGAGUCAGCUGCCUAUCGACGUUCUUAUAAAGAUGUUGUAAAUUAUUAAAUACAGCGAUGUGAUGGUAUUCACAUACGAUAACUGCUCUUGAAGUUUC